CACGUAGGGUGCAAGCGUUGUCCGGAUUUAUUGGGCGUAAAGGGCCCGUAGGCGGCUUGAUAAGUCGGGUGUGAAAACUCCAGGCUCAACCUGGAGACGCCACCCGAUACUGUCAUGGCUAGAGUCUGGUAGGGGAGUGCGGAAUUCCUGGUGUAGCGGUGAAAUGCGCAGAUAUCAGGAGGAACACCGGUGGCGAAGGCGGCACUCUGGGCCAGUACUGACGCUGAGGGGCGAAAGCGUGGGUAGCAAACAGG
Molecule: ribosomal RNA, 254 nt
Filed under: uncultured bacterium
Lineage: Bacteria
Description: partial 16S ribosomal RNA
Rfam family: Bacterial small subunit ribosomal RNA
Source: RNAcentral